RNAcentral lists this ribosomal RNA (122 nucleotides) under Oryza sativa Japonica Group (Japanese rice). Lineage: Eukaryota; Viridiplantae; Streptophyta; Magnoliopsida; Poales; Poaceae. The record is from RNAcentral.
CGGAUGCGAUCAUACCAGCACUAAAGCACCGGAUCCCAUCAGAACUCCGAAGUUAAGCGUGCUUGGGCGAGAGUAGUACUACGAUGGGUGACCUCCUGGGAAGUCCUCGUGUUGCAUCCCUC